GACGAACGCUGGCGGCGUGCUUAACACAUGCAAGUCGAACGAAGAGCGAUGGAAGCUUGCUUCUAUCAAUCUUAGUGGCGAACGGGUGAGUAACGCGUAAUCAACCUGCCCUUCAGAGGGGGACAACAGUUGGAAACGACUGCUAAUACCGCAUACGAUCUAAUCUCGGCAUCGAGGAUAGAUGAAAGGUGGCCUCUACAUGUAAGCUAUCACUGAAGGAGGGGAUUGCGUCUGAUUAGCUAGUUGGAGGGGUAACGGCCUACCAAGGCGAUGAUCAGUAGCCGGUCUGAGAGGAUGAACGGCCACAUUGGGACUGAGACACGGCCCAGACUCCUACGGGAGGCAGCAGUGGGGAAUCUUCCGCAAUGGACGAAAGUCUGACGGAGCAACGCCGCGUGAGUGAUGACGGCCUUCGGGUUGUAAAGCUCUGUUAAUCGGGACGAAAGGCCUUCUUGCGAAUAGGGAGAAGGAUUGACGGUACCGGAAUAGAAAGCCACGGCUAACUACGUG
RNAcentral lists this ribosomal RNA (510 nucleotides) under uncultured bacterium. RNAcentral describes it as "partial 16S ribosomal RNA". It matches the Rfam family "Bacterial small subunit ribosomal RNA", at positions 28 to 507 of the family's 1533-position model. The record is from RNAcentral.